Molecule: ribosomal RNA, 253 nt
Filed under: uncultured bacterium
Lineage: Bacteria
Description: partial 16S ribosomal RNA
Rfam family: Bacterial small subunit ribosomal RNA
Source: RNAcentral
UACGUAGGGUGCGAGCGUUAAUCGGAAUUACUGGGCGUAAAGCGUGCGCAGGCGGUUUUGUAAGACAGUUGUGAAAUCCCCGGGCUCAACCUGGGAACUGCAUCUGUGACUGCAUAGCUAGAGUACGGUAGAGGGGGAUGGAAUUCCGCGUGUAGCAGUGAAAUGCGUAGAUAUGCGGAGGAACACCGAUGGCGAAGGCAAUCCCCUGGACCUGUACUGACGCUCAUGCACGAAAGCGUGGGGAGCAAACAGG